This 241-nucleotide ribosomal RNA is filed under the name uncultured bacterium. Its description in RNAcentral is "partial 16S ribosomal RNA". It matches the Rfam family "Bacterial small subunit ribosomal RNA", at positions 536 to 776 of the family's 1533-position model. The record is from RNAcentral.
UAGCGUUGCUCGGAAUUACUGGGCGUAAAGCGCACGUAGGCGGCCUCUUAAGUCGGGGGUGAAAGCCCAGGGCUCAACCCUGGAACUGCCUUCGAUACUGGGAGUCUUGAGUGUGGAAGAGGUUGGUGGAACUGCGAGUGUAGAGGUGAAAUUCGUAGAUAUUCGCAAGAACACCAGUGGCGAAGGCGGCCAACUGGUCCAUUACUGACGCUGAGGUGCGAAAGCGUGGGGAGCAAACAGG